GAAAUGCGAUAAGUAUUGUGAAUUGCAGAUUUGUGAAUCAUCGAAUUUUUGAACGCACAUUGCGCCCUCUGGUAUUCCGGGGGGCAUGCCUGUUCGAGCGUCAUUGCUUUCUCAAACCUUUUAGUUUGGUGUUGAAUUUAUUAUGUAGCAAUACAUAUGAUUCGAAAAGCAUUGGCAAGGCUAUUUGAGCUUUUCUUACAACGUAUUAGGUUUUACCAACUCGUUGGCUACAGUAAGUUUGAAAAUAAAGCCUGGCUUUAGAACUCUCUAAAGUUUGACCUCGGAUCAGGUAGGAUUACCCGCUGAACUUAA
This 312-nucleotide unclassified non-coding RNA is filed under the name uncultured Nadsonia. Its description in RNAcentral is "sequence contains ITS1". The stretch from base 1 to 103 matches the Rfam family "5.8S ribosomal RNA", at positions 50 to 154 of the family's 154-position model. The record is from RNAcentral. Lineage: Eukaryota; Fungi; Ascomycota; Saccharomycetes; Saccharomycetales.